RNAcentral lists this ribosomal RNA (491 nucleotides) under uncultured bacterium. Its description in RNAcentral is "partial 16S ribosomal RNA". It matches the Rfam family "Bacterial small subunit ribosomal RNA", at positions 29 to 507 of the family's 1533-position model. The record is from RNAcentral.
GUGAACGCUGGCGGUAGGCCUAACACCUGCAAGUCGCACGGCAGCACAGUAAGAGCUUGCUCUUACGGGUGGCGAGUGGCGGACGGGUGAGGAAUACAUCGGAAUCUACUUUUUCGUGGGGGAUAACGUAGGGAAACUUACGCUAAUACCGCAUACGACCUACGGGUGAAAGCAGGGGAUCUUCGGACCUUGCGCGAUUGAAUGAGCCGAUGUCGGAUUAGCUAGUUGGCGGGGUAAAGGCCCACCAAGGCGACGAUCCGUAGCUGGUCUGAGAGGAUGAUCAGCCACACUGGAACCGAGACACGGUCCAGACUCCUACGGGAGGCAGCAGUGGGGAAUAUUGGACAAUGGGCGCAAGCCUGAUCCAGCCAUACCGCGUGGGUGAAGAAGGCCUUCGGGUUGUAAAGCCCUUUUGUUGGGAAAGAAAAGCAGCAGGUUAAUACCCCGCUGUUCUGACGGUACCCAAAGAAUAAGCACCGGCUAACUUCGUG